RNAcentral lists this long non-coding RNA (589 nucleotides) under Gossypium barbadense (sea-island cotton). RNAcentral describes it as "long non-coding RNA (GBAR_LNC016753)". Lineage: Eukaryota; Viridiplantae; Streptophyta; Magnoliopsida; Malvales; Malvaceae. The record is from RNAcentral.
GCAAAGGUAGCACUCGAAGAUAGGUAUUCGCAGAUGAACAAACUUGUUGCGGAUUUGGAGACUUUUCUAAGGUCAAGAACCGGAACUCUGGAAGCAAAAGACAUGAAAGAAGCAGAAUCCCUUAGACAGGUUGCUGCGUCAGUUAAUGUUGAAGAAAUCAAGGAAUUUACAUAUGAGCCCCCAAAACCGGAUGACAUUUUUGCUGUUUUUGAAGAUGUAGCUUUAGCUGAAGCCAAUGAAAGGGAAAUCGAACCAUGUGUUGCACAUAGUCCUGCCAGCUAUUCCUCGAAAGUUCAUAUGGUGAGUCCUGAAAUUAACAUGAUGAGAAAAGACAUCAUUCCGAGACAUCCAAAUGCAUAUGUUGAUCAGAGUGAUGAGAUAGAAGAAGAUGAGAGUGGGUGGGAAACUGUUAGCCAUCUUGAAGAUCAGGGCUCGAGUUAUUCACCUGAAGGGAGUGAUGCGUCUGUAAACAAGAAUUGCCGGGGCAGUAAUUUCUCGGGUAGUGGAAUCGAAUGGGAAGAAAAUUCAUGCAGAGAUACAGAUACACCAGACACGGAAAUUAGUGAAGUUUGUUCGUUACCGGCUAGAC